GGUUGGAGACUUCCUUGAUACCGGCGCCACCCAGACGACAAUCAUAAACAAUUUUAAGUUUAUCUAAAGAGAACUUGUCAUGCGUAAACUUGAUAAACUUGACGUGUCCCUUCCUUCUAUUCGAGGAGCUAUGUAUGAUGAUCCAAUCGCUCAAACGUUCCUUCAUACUGAGAGAACAACUUUUCAUGUUUGAAAAAAAAUGAAGAUCACGAACGACGGCAUGUUCAACCUUACCCACCAAGGCGAGUACGGGACCUGAACGACGCCACAGACUUCCCGAAGAGAGCGUCGAGCGAAGAGGUCUUCUGCCCACGCCUGUUCUGCUGGUGAUAAUCGAAGAUGUGGCCAAAGAUGAUCAUUCUCCUACCGCUGUUUCUUGCCUCGGAUGUGACAGCAAAUACAGACUUAACAAUAGCAACAGCACCGCCGUCUUCAAGUGAGUUUUCAAAAAUUGUUGUUUUCUGACUUGUUCAGAAAGACAUUUUUUGUUUAUAUAUUAUACACACGUGAAGUUAUAAUGGUGGUCACACACAGGUAUACAAAGUUCACAAGGCUGCAAGUAAGUACAACACAGCAAAUUGACAGAUAAUAUACAAUAACGAAAUGAAAAUGAAGACAUGUAAAAAAAGAAAGAAAGAAUGAAAAAAGAAAUUAAGAUGAUAAGAGGGGCAAAGCUUUAAACGAAACAGUGUCGCUGUUUGAUUUAUUAUUUACUUAGGGAAUCUUAGAUGCCUGUUAAAGAUUAUUGCGUAAAAUACUUGAAUGGUAAUUUCCCCCUUUUCCUGGAAAAUAUGUUUAUUACGAUGCAUAUCUGUAAAGACGCAUGGCAAAAUAUUUCAAGAUUUCUUAAAAAAUAAUGAAAGAUGUUUUUGACGGAACACUUUGAUCAGAUAUGUUGAUUUAGUUUCAAACUGCCUCCAGAGGAAGCUUGUUCCAGUUUCAUCUCAGUAGUAAACUAAUUUGCUUAAUUUAUGGCAGUUGAUGAUAUUACGAUCAA
This is a long non-coding RNA of Penaeus monodon (black tiger shrimp), 997 nucleotides long. RefSeq lists it as uncharacterized. NCBI's taxonomy places the organism in Eukaryota, Metazoa, Arthropoda, Malacostraca, Decapoda, Penaeidae. The record is from RefSeq and is a predicted model, not a curated record. The transcript has 4 exons.